Molecule: long non-coding RNA, 1686 nt
Filed under: Homo sapiens (human)
Lineage: Eukaryota; Metazoa; Chordata; Mammalia; Primates; Hominidae
Description: HSALNT0009292
Source: RNAcentral
AAAUGAGGAAGUGGAAUAAGGAAUAACAUGAGGAAAGACAACCAAAUGGAAAAUGAAGCAUAACUUUAUUAUUUUGAUAAAACACACAGGAAUAAAAAAAUGAACAUCCCCUGGAAAGCAUUGCUGACUGUGAAGAGGUAAGCUGUAACCACUGAUGCGUGCACAACAUGGAGAACCCCAAAGAUCCAGGUGGUGCCGAGAAGGAACAGAAGAGCGAGGGCUCCUCUUGCACAAGACCUAUCACAUAUGAGAAAUGCGUCAGUGAAGAAAGCUACGUAUAGUCAACAUAUCUCCCAAAUUACUCAAAUUAUGUGGGAGUGUGACGAAAAACUUUGUAUAUGAUGACUCCAAAAGCCAAGAGAUUAACCUGGAAAAAGAAUUAAUUUCAAAGAAGAGAUAGUUUUCAUCUUAAAUUGGAUACAUAUAAAGAAAAUAAAUGGUAAAGAUUUCAAUAAGAUAGAAACUAAAAAUCAUGGCAUUUAUAUAGUUCUUUACAAUAUCACUGAAAAUUAUCAGUACAAGUGGUACCGAAAGCAACCUGUUUAUGAAACUUCUUCAGAUGUUAUCAUCAUACCUAAAGAUUGAUGAGUAUCAUCUGCUGCCACUAAUAUGAUUAAUAUAUACAUUAAGUUAAAUUUUGGUUUGGAAAGCUUUAUAAACACUAAAGAAAGCAAAUUUUUGUUCAGUAAUUUCUAUACUGUUUCUUUGAAGAAAUGUGUUAGUGAUAAUUCCGUGAACCCUUUAAAAAUUUAGACUGGAAAAGAAAAAUUGAAAGAUUGAAAAGAAAUAAGAAAACUCAACAAAACACUCUCAGUUUCUAAUGUGAGGAAAUGUUUGAAUGUACUUUCUCUCGUAUGAUUUAUCUAGAUUCUCUCCUAAUACAAAUGUUAAUAUUUCUUUUUCCUUGAUUUAACCGUGGAUGCUUUCAAAAUGUUAAUCAAUGAAUUAAAUGUUUGUUGUUAGGCAAAUAAAUGUUAACACAUUCUAUUAUUUGUAUUUUGUAAUAUGGGCUAAAUAGAAUUGGAGAGUUGUCACCCUUUUUAUUGUGACUGCAUUAUGAAAAGUUGCCUCUUAUUUUCCUUUUUCUAUAGUUUUGAAGACCUCCAAGUCAUAUUUGCAGUGUUAGAAGGCUAAAUGAAGGGUAUAUGUUAAAUGUAUAGAUAGUCUAAUAUGAGCAUGCCAAUAAUUUAAAAUAUUAAAUAUUAUAGAAAUAGUUGGAAGGCUAAUCCCUUAUGAAAUCUAUUUUAUUAAUUCAAGCAGAUUUUUCCAAAGACACUUUGAAAUGACAACAACAAAGUGCAACAUUAUAAUUUUCAGCUAAUUCUUCUACUAGUAAUUCAGAAGCUUACAGUUUUAAAACAUUUCUUUUUUCUAUCUUCUAAUGAGUUUUAUGUAGCCUCUCAAAAUGAAAUUUAGCAUAUUGUAGUAUUACAAACAGCAGUAUAAAAUAAUGGGCCUGAGAAUUUCAUGUUGCCACUUUUGUAUGGAGGGGUCCUUGAGAGGAAAUCUCGGAAGAAUAAGGGGUCUAGUCUCUAUUUCCUGUUUCCAAAUGUCCAUUACUUCUAAUUAUAUGAGUAAUUAAUCCUAAUUAUAGUAAUGCUUCCAUACUUUAGCAAUUGUAGAGGUGAGAUAAAGAAUAUUUAAAUUGAUUUAGGUGAUAGUUCCAUCCUCUUUGUAUGCUCAAAU